CCUACGGGUGGCUGCAGUGGGGAAUAUUGGACAAUGGGCGAAAGCCUGAUCCAGCCAUGCCGCGUGUGUGAAGAAGGCCUUCGGGUUGUAAAGCACUUUCAGUGGGGAAGAAAGCCUUGGGGCUAAUACCCUCGAGGAAGGACAUCACCCACAGAAGAAGCACCGGCUAACUCCGUGCCAGCAGCCGCGGUAAUACGGAGGGUGCGAGCGUUAAUCGGAAUUACUGGGCGUAAAGCGCGCGUAGGCGGUCUGAUAAGCCGGUUGUGAAAGCCCCGGGCUCAACCUGGGAACGGCAUCCGGAACUGGCAGGCUAGAGUGCAGGAGAGGAAGGUAGAAUUCCCGGUGUAGCGGUGAAAUGCGUAGAGAUCGGGAGGAAUACCAGUGGCGAAGGCGGUCUUCUGGACUGACACUGACGCUGAGGUGCGAAAGCGUGGGUAGCAAACAGGAUUAGAUACCCUAGUAGUC
RNAcentral lists this ribosomal RNA (465 nucleotides) under Vreelandella stevensii. Its description in RNAcentral is "partial 16S ribosomal RNA". It matches the Rfam family "Bacterial small subunit ribosomal RNA", at positions 338 to 795 of the family's 1533-position model. The record is from RNAcentral. Lineage: Bacteria; Pseudomonadati; Pseudomonadota; Gammaproteobacteria; Oceanospirillales; Halomonadaceae.